Molecule: ribosomal RNA, 223 nt
Filed under: uncultured bacterium
Lineage: Bacteria
Description: partial 16S ribosomal RNA
Rfam family: Bacterial small subunit ribosomal RNA
Source: RNAcentral
ACGCUCGACACCUACGGGAGGCAGCAGUGGGGGAUAUUGCGCAAUGGGGGAAACCCUGACNCAGCAACCGCCCGCCGGUCGGAAGGGAACGGAAAGGGUUUUACGGAUUUGGUAAACUUCUUUUAGUUAGGGACGAAGAAAUGACGGGUACCUAGACGAAGUAAGCUCCGGACUAACUACGUCGCAAGCAGCCGACGGUAAUCUGGAGGCGGGCUGGCAAGGC